Pongo abelii (Sumatran orangutan) is the source of this 107-nucleotide small nuclear RNA. NCBI's taxonomy places the organism in Eukaryota, Metazoa, Chordata, Mammalia, Primates, Hominidae. The record is from Ensembl.
GUGGUCACUUCGGCAGCACAUAUACUCAAAUUGGAACGAUACAGAGAAGAUUAGCAUGGCCUCUGUGCAAAGAUGACAUGCAAAUUCAUGAAGCGUUCCAUAUUUUA